RNAcentral lists this ribosomal RNA (558 nucleotides) under uncultured Glomus. RNAcentral describes it as "eukaryotic LSU rRNA". The stretch from base 156 to 309 matches the Rfam family "5.8S ribosomal RNA". Lineage: Eukaryota; Fungi; Glomeromycota; Glomeromycetes; Glomerales; Glomeraceae. The record is from RNAcentral.
GGAAGUAAAAGUCGUAACAAGGUUUCCGUAGGUGAACCUGCGGAAGGAUCAUUACUGAUUUAGCGAACCGAGCAUUAGCGAGGUUUUGCGAUCAAUUUAUAUUUAAAACCCACUCUUUAAUGUAUAAAAUUUGUAUUAAUGAUAAAUUAAAAGAUCACUUUCAACAACGGAUCUCUUGGCUCUCGCAUCGAUGAAGAACGUAGCGAAGUGCGAUAAGUAAUGUGAAUUGCAGUAUUCCGUGAAUCAUCGAAUCUUUGAACGCAUAUUGCACUUUCUGGUAUUCCGGAAAGUAUGCCUGUUUGAGGGUCAGUUAAAUAAAAAUCGGUGUUGUUGCUGCCUUUCGUGGUGACGCGUCGGAAUUGAGUUGUCUUACCUUCGGUUAAGUGACUUAAAAUUUUGUAUGAUUUUUGAACGUAUUUAAAUUUAUUUGUACGUUUGAGAUAUCGAAUAUUUAUUAGGUUCGGUCAUUCUAACGACUCGCGCCUAUAAUUUUCCAUUAAAUGACCUCAAAUCAGGUAAGAAUACCCGCUGAACUUAAGCAUAUCAAUAAGCGGAGGA